UAAUACGGAGGAUGCGAGCGUUAUCCGGAUUUAUUGGGUUUAAAGGGUGCGUAGGCGGUUUGAUAAGUCAGUGGUGAAAGUUUUCAGCUUAACUGGAAAAAUGCCAUUGAUACUGUCAGGCUAGAAUAUGGUUGCUGUGAGUGGAAUGUGUGGUGUAGCGGUGAAAUGCUUAGAUAUCACACAGAAUAUCGAUUGCGAAGGCAGCUCACAAAGCCAUUAUUGACGCUGAGGCACGAAAGUGUGGGGAUCAAACAGGAUUAGAUACCCUGGUAGUCCACACUGUAAACGAUGAUAACUAGUUGUUGGCGAUACACAGUCAGUGACCAAGCGAAAGCGAUAAGUUAUCCACCUGGGGAGUACGACCGCAAGGUUGAAACUCAAAGGAAUUGACGGGGGCCCGCACAAGCGGAGGAACAUGUGGUUUAAUUCGAUGAUACGCGAGGAACCUUACCCGGGCUCGAACGGUGCAGGAAUAUGGUAGAGAUAUCAUAGCUAGCAAUAGUCUGUAUCGAGGUGCUGCAUGGUUGUCGUCAGCUCGUGCCGUGAGGUGUCGGCUUAAGUGCCAUAACGAGCGCAACCCUUGUCGUUAGUUGCCAUCAGGUCAAGCUGGGAACUCUAACGAGACUGCCACCGUAAGGUGUGAGGAAGGGGGGGAUGACGUCAAAUCAGCACGGCCCUUACGUCCGGGGCGACACACGUGUUACAAUGGUAGGUACAGAGGGCCGCUAACCAGCGAUGGUGUGCAAAUCUCAAAAACCUAUCUCAGUUCGGAUCGGAGUCUGCAACUCGACUCCGUGAAGUUGGAUUCGCUAGUAAUCGCGCAUCAGCCAUGGCGCGGUGAAUACGUUCCCGGGCCUUGUACACACCGCCCGUCAAGCCAUGNAAGCUGGGGGUGCCUGA
RNAcentral lists this ribosomal RNA (900 nucleotides) under uncultured Parabacteroides sp. Its description in RNAcentral is "bacterial SSU rRNA". It matches the Rfam family "Bacterial small subunit ribosomal RNA", at positions 521 to 1424 of the family's 1533-position model. Lineage: Bacteria; Pseudomonadati; Bacteroidota; Bacteroidia; Bacteroidales; Tannerellaceae. The record is from RNAcentral.